AACGAUAAAAGUCAUUCCCGAUUGGUUC
This 28-nucleotide small RNA is filed under the name Bombyx mori (domestic silkworm). RNAcentral describes it as "ovarian small RNA-10385". The record is from RNAcentral. Lineage: Eukaryota; Metazoa; Arthropoda; Insecta; Lepidoptera; Bombycidae.